Molecule: long non-coding RNA, 834 nt
Organism: Panthera uncia (snow leopard)
Lineage: Eukaryota; Metazoa; Chordata; Mammalia; Carnivora; Felidae
Exons: 3
Source: RefSeq, a predicted model, not a curated record
GGGCUGCUGGAGAAGCGUGUUCUUGACAUAUUGAGAAGUUCUUAUUGACAACUUAAGGUGGAAAAGGAGUAAGGGAACUUUAAAGAUAAGACACAGGAUUCCCCCCAGGCUGCAGCAGCCUGAGUCUCCUUCGUGUGAGGACAUGCAAUCCUUCUUGGGCCUCAGAGUUUUCACAGCUGCAAAUUGGGUAUUGGUACUGCCUCUGAGGACGGUCGGGAAUAUUAAAUAAGAUGACGUCUGUGAAGCAUUUAGCGUAGAGCCUGGAAUACAGGGGAUGCACCAUGAAGUCCCGUUACUCUCCUGGAGCAGAAGGAAUGGUACAUUAGAACACAUGCUGAACCAAACUUCCAAUAAAUAAUGUUUUGAGGAGGAAAGACUCAAUGUACUAGAGAAAGAACUUCUAAAUACUGACCCUUAAUUCUUAUAAAGCAAAGAUAACCAGAGAAGAUGGAGAGUGGGAUGGGGAUGGGAGCAGAGGACAUAAAUCAUCAAGAAGGAGAAGCGGAAGAAAAGAAGGAAGAGACAUGAAGGGAAAACAUCAGAAACACUAAACAAAAAGGAACCAACUCUGAGCCCAGGACUCAGCCUGAUGAGAUGGGUCAUCAUGAGUUAUACCCUCACGGCUCACACGAGAGCCACGGUGCCGGGGCCCAGGGACCUCCCUGUCUAACACAAGCUCCGAAUUCCAGAAUCAUAGACUCUUAGAGCUAGAACACUCCUCUGAGUUCACCUCUCACCCCCAGGGCAGUGAUUCCUCUGCACUACCCCUAAAUCUUUCCGUGUAACUUUGUCCUGUGGCAGGACACUCAUUCAUUACCAGUGGGAGUGUUCCUU